UUAGUGCUAGCCUCUCGGGCCGCACAAGUCUCCCACGGCGCGGCGGUGCCCGCUCCCCCUCGCCUCUCCGGCCAUGCCGAUCUCCUCCCUCAGCACGAGGCGGGCGCAUGCAGGGCGGCCGCUAGCGAACGAGGCCGCGAUCGAUCGAUCCAGUGGCGCUGCGGCGCCUGCAUCCCUCGGCUCUCCGGUCACACUGGUCUACUCCCUAAGCACGAAGUGGGUGCAUGCAGGGCAGCCGCCGGCGAAUGAGCCUGCGGCGCGGAGCCCUCUGCUCCGUGCCAGUUUGAGAUCCGCACCGAUCUCCUCCCUGCUGGCCGUUCUGCCCUCCAUCGCCCCUAUCUCCUCAUCAACUUGCAGAUGUUGCUGUCGCACUCACCAUAGGGAAGAUCGCCGAGUACUUAGUCGAAAUCUGCUGCAAACGACCACCGUCCUGUGCCAAGAAGUGGAAGUAUUUCAUCCCUCAUAUGUGCUUCCUUCUUCACAUGUGAUGCAAGUAUCACGUGCUUCCUGACUCGCUUUCUUCUACAACAAAGAGUACAUGUGGAUCAAUUACUUCAUGUCUGCUAACAAAAUCACAUAUCAUAUCUGACAGUUGGUUAUUUUUCUCCUUUGAAAUUGAUGAACUGAGAGAUAAUGCCACGGAAUAACAUAAGUAUUUCUGUUUUAAGUGUGUAUACUAUCCUGAUAAAAUCCUCAGAACACAAAAGUGUAUGCAUUCUUGGUUCCAUGCACCAUUUUGUUUCCAUAUUUGAGAGAUUGGUUUUGAGCAUGUGAAUCUGAGCUUCACAUACUUUGCCUAAGAAACUUCAGUUAUUGAUAAGACGACAAAGGAUGAAAAAUAUGGAGCGACGUCUGAAGCAUUUCAGUGUUGGAAAACUGUGAUGUGAUGCCAGUACUACGAAGCAAUUCUGCAUCUCUUGCAUAUGACAAUUCUUUUUGUGUAUAGAGAUGCAUGACAUGGAUGCAGUGCAGAUGUCUUGAUGGCAAACAGGGACCAUUUAAUGGGAGCCUACAAAGUUGUACAGGCAACAACUCCAAGGAAUCAAUACGGUGUGGUGUUUUCAGUAUUCCUAAAAUGAAUGAAGUAAUGGUGUGAUUAACGCUACCAUUGAUUUGUCAGUCUGCUAUUGAGAAAAUUAUCAUACUCUAUUAAGCUGGAUUCCUUUUUUUAGCAGAAGCUCACAUCAGCAUCUUAUGAAUUUUGGAUGCCCCGAACAGUAAGAGAUGAAGAACUACUACAAGGAAAAUAUAUACAUCUACAUGUCAGUGAAACUUAGGAGAGAGGAAUGGCAUUGCCGAAUGGGCAAGGCAAACAUCCACACCUGGAAGAAAAGGUAUUUCAAACUCAGCUGAAAAUAUAGAAUUGUGGUACUGUAAACUGUAAGCAUGAUCUCUGUUUUCAAUUGAAUAAUAAUGCCAUGAUUUCUUUUCAAAGAUCUCUGUCCAAGAGCACAGGUUUCAGCCACUGAGAUAAGAUCCCAACAAAGAAACAGCGGAAUUCAGCAGGCGCACAUGGAUAUCAUCUGAUGAGUAGAUUUCUGUGGAACCGAUACUCCCACUUUUUCUGAAAACAGAACAUAACAUAACUUAUACUACGAAUGGAAUGAAACCUUAACACUCAACCAUCCCCUGGUUACUUGCGGUUUGAGGACGAGAUAUGUGCCCCAUCCCUGGUUACUUGCUUGCACAAUUAACCACGGCGGAUUCGGUACAUUUGUUAACCCAUUUGUAGGAAGAGAUGGAGCUGCCCCUGGUGGUGUGAGAGAGACAAUGCCCUCCGGUUCUAAUUUUAUAAAGAAGAUUCAGGUAUGACUUCACGCCGCCGCUGCUGCUGCAUCCGCAACCUCAGGCCGUGAAGAGGACACAAAAAAGGGCUGGUGCAACUGUCUCCAGCCUACUUUCAGGUAUUGACAUAGGUUGAGACGAGGAUUUGCUUUCAAAUGCACCAAGUAAAACAUGUGUGCUGGGCCAGAGAUUUUAUUCAUGAUGAUUUGUGUUGAAUAAUGGCUGGAUGCCAAAUGAAGCUAUGUGUGCUAUGUGUCUCUGUGCAUUCCAAGAGAAGGGUUUGUCUCCUUGGGACACUUACGUACUCUUCCAAUGUACUCCCUCCGUUCGAAAUUACUUGUCACAAAAAUGGAUGUAUCUACAACUAAAAUACAUCUAGAUACAUUCAUUUCUUGAACGGUUAAUUCCGAACGGAGGGAGUAACUUGG
Molecule: long non-coding RNA, 2213 nt
Organism: Triticum aestivum (bread wheat)
Lineage: Eukaryota; Viridiplantae; Streptophyta; Magnoliopsida; Poales; Poaceae
Exons: 4
Source: RefSeq, a predicted model, not a curated record